Molecule: ribosomal RNA, 1306 nt
Filed under: uncultured bacterium
Lineage: Bacteria
Description: bacterial SSU rRNA
Rfam family: Bacterial small subunit ribosomal RNA
Source: RNAcentral
AACGUACGCUGGCGGCACGCCUAACACAUGCAAGUCGAACGAAGUAGCAAUACUUAGUGGCAGACGGGUGAGUAACAUGUAGGUAUCUGCCCUUUGGCCUGGAAUAACACGAGGAAACUUGUGCUAAUACCGGAUAAGUCUUUACGGAGAAAGCUUUAUGCACCAUUGGAUGAGCCUGCACUUGAUUAGUUUGUUGGUGGGGUAAUGGCCUACCAAGACUGUGAUCAAUAGCUGAUUUGAGAGGAUGAUCAGCCACAUUGGGACUGAGACACGGCCCAAACUCCUACGGGAGGCAGCAGUGGGGAAUCUUGCACAAUGGAGGAAACUCUGAUGCAGCGAUGCCGCGUGAGUGAAGAAGGCCCUUGGGUUGUAAAGCUCUUUCGUCGGGGAAGAAAAUGACUGUACCCGAAUAAGAAGGUCCGGCUAACUUCGUGCCAGCAGCCGCGGUAAUACGAAGGGACCUAGCGUAGUUCGGAAUUACUGGGCUUAAAGAGUUCGUAGGUGGUUGAAAAAGUUAGUGGUGAAAUCCCAGAGCUUAACUCUGGAACUGCCAUUAAAACUUUUCAGCUAGAGUAUGAUAGAGGAAAGUAGAAUUUCUAGUGUAGAGGUGAAAUUCGUAGAUAUUAGAAAGAAUACCAAUUGCGAAGGCAGCUUUCUGGAUCAUUACUGACACUGAGGAACGAAAGCAUGGGUAGCGAAGAGGAUUAGAUACCCUCGUAGUCCAUGCCGUAAACGAUGUGUGUUAGACGUUGGAAAUUUAUUUUCAGUGUCGCAGGGAAACCGAUAAACACACCGCCUGGGGAGUACGACCGCAAGGUUAAAACUCAAAUGAAUUGACGGGGACCCGCACAAGUAGUGGAGCAUGUGGUUUAAUUCGAAGAUACGCGCAGAACCUUACCAACACUUGACAUGUUCGUCGCGACUCUAAGAGAUUAGAGUUUUCGGUUCGGCCGGACGAAACACAGGUGCUGCAUGGCUGUCGUCAGCUCGUGUCGUGAGAUGUUGGGUUAAGUCCCGCAACGAGCGCAACCCUCACUUUUAGUUGCCAUCAUUAAGUUGGGCACUCUGAAAGAACUGCCAGUGAUAAGCUGGAGGAAGGUGGGGAUGACGUCAAGUCCUCAUGGCCCUUACGUGUUGGGCUACACACGUGCUACAAUGGUAUCUACAACAGGAAGCAAGACUGCGAAGUUAAGCAAAUCCCUAAAAGAUACCUCAGUUCGGAUUGCACUCUGCAACUCGAGUGCAUGAAGCUGGAAUUACUAGUAAUCGUGGAUCAGCGUGCCACGGUGAAUGCGUUCCCGGGUCU